RNAcentral lists this non-coding RNA (29 nucleotides) under Mus musculus (house mouse). The record is from RNAcentral. Lineage: Eukaryota; Metazoa; Chordata; Mammalia; Rodentia; Muridae.
UCCGUCUGAGUACACCCCUGAUCACCCCC